This 447-nucleotide ribosomal RNA is filed under the name uncultured bacterium. RNAcentral's name for it is "bacterial SSU rRNA". It matches the Rfam family "Bacterial small subunit ribosomal RNA", at positions 329 to 793 of the family's 1533-position model. The record is from RNAcentral.
GUUCCAGCUCCUACGGGAGGCAGCAGUGGGGAAUAUUGCACAAUGGGGGAAACCCUGAUGCAGCGACGCCGCGUGAGUGAAGAAGUAUUUCGGUAUGUAAAGCUCUAUCAGCAGGGGAGAAAAUGACGGUACCUGAGUAAGAAGCUCCGGCUAAAUACGUGCCAGCAGCCGCGGUAAUGCGUAUGGAGCAAGCGUUAUCCGGAUUUACUGGGCGUAAAGGGAGCGCAGGCGGCUUGGCAAGUCUGAUGUGAAAGGCUGGGGCUCAACCCCAGGACUGCAUUGGAAACUGUUAGGCUGGAGUGUCGGAGAGGUAAGCGGAAUUCCUAGUGUAGCGGUGAAAUGCGUAGAUAUUAGGAGGAACACCAGUGGCGAAGGCGGCUUACUGGACGACAACUGACGCUGAGGCUCGAAAGCGUGGGGAGCAAACAGGAUUAGAUACCCGCGUAU